CCUACGGGGGGCUGCAGUGAGGAAUAUUGGUCAAUGGCCGGAAGGCUGAACCAGCCAUGCCGCGUGAAGGUCAGUGCCCUAUGGGCGUUAAACUUCUUUUGUGCGGGAGCAAUAAUGGUCACGUGUGGCCAGACGAGAGUACCGUACGAAUAAGCAUCGGCUAACUCCGUGCCAGCAGCCGCGGUAAUACGGGGGAUGCAAGCGUUAUACGGAUUUAUUGGGUUUAAAGGGUGCGUAGGCUGUGCGGUAAAUCAGCGGUGAAAUGCCCCCGCGCAACGGGGUGAAGUGCCAUUGAUACUGGCUUGCUGGAGUGCGGAUGCCGUGGGAGGAAUGGGUGGUGUAGCGGUGAAAUGCAUAGAUAUCACACAGAACACCGAUUGCGAAGGCAGCUCACGAAUCCGCGAUUGACGCUGAUGCACGAAAGCGUGGGUAUCAAACAGGAUUAGAUACCCUGGUAGUC
RNAcentral lists this ribosomal RNA (460 nucleotides) under uncultured bacterium. RNAcentral's name for it is "partial 16S ribosomal RNA". It matches the Rfam family "Bacterial small subunit ribosomal RNA", at positions 338 to 795 of the family's 1533-position model. The record is from RNAcentral.